This is a non-coding RNA of 188 nucleotides. It matches the Rfam family "6S / SsrS RNA". From Rfam's summary of the family: E. coli 6S RNA was the first non coding RNA to be sequenced, but its function was unknown until recently. It consists of 184 nucleotides that fold into an extended hairpin structure with a large single-stranded internal bulge. The record is from Rfam.
UGUUCCCUGCGGUGUACGACAGCGUUUCGUUACAUUUGCCUUGUUCCUAACUUUCGACCUGGGUCGGCAACAAGGUGGCCGGUGAGCAUGUCCGUCGCGUACGGAAAGCCUGAAACGCCAUCUGCGCCCUCCCACCUGAUCCUUCCGGAUCAAGGUCGUUCGAAGCGCAUCGGCAUUGUGGAGAACAC